CGACCCUACCCUCGCGUAUUAUCCCCGUCCCCGUCUCGUCCCCGUCCAAACCCUAUCGAGAUAGCUUACGCGACCGGCGGCGAGCGAAGUGGCGGCGAGCGGAGCAGCGACGAGCGGAGUGGGUGCGGGAGGGGCGUGAAAGGCGGAGCAUCUUACCGGCGGGAGGGGAUGAAUCCCGCCUAGCCGCUCCAUAUCAGAUCGCCGCCGUACUUGGAGUCCGACCGGCGCCGCCGUUCUUGGUGUCCGACCGCCGCUGCCGUCCACUUCGGUUCCUCUCCGGGAUUAACAAAGAAGCUUAUCCAUCUUGUUUCUGCAAGUGAACAUUCUGGCAUUAUCUCCAAGUAAUUCAUUCAGUGGAGAGCUCCCACCUUCUUGGGAUCCUAUAGCAACACCAAAAUUCGGCUGGGUGCAGGAGGCAUCCACGGUGCGCUGAACCUCGUCCCCAAGACCCACCGCAGCUACCUCGACAUCAAAGUUCAGGAGAUCGUUGACAUCAGCAACAAUUUCUACCAGUGAUGGCACCUGUGAUGUGUGCUCACCUCUGAUGUUUGUCAAAAGACUGUUUGUUGUUGACCGGUGUAACCUGUUAUGAUAUUUUGUAGUGUCAUGGUUGCUCAGAAGUUGCAAGGUUCACAUGUUCUGUUGUCCGUGAUGAGAAUUGUGACAACAUGAGUUCCUUUUCCAGGAGUCUACUUUAUUUAGUCUUAGCAUAAAGAUUUGUAUCCUGGGUUUUGGACUUCUAGUCUCACUGCCGUAUUGGACCUGAUACAUAUGGACAUACAUAGUGAUAUAAAGGUUGUCAAAACCUCAAAUAAUGUUUAGUUCAGUUUUAAUGUUA
Long non-coding RNA from Lolium perenne, 838 nucleotides. RefSeq lists it as uncharacterized. Lineage: Eukaryota; Viridiplantae; Streptophyta; Magnoliopsida; Poales; Poaceae. The record is from RefSeq and is a predicted model, not a curated record.